CGAGUCGCAAGCUCGCGAGAGUAAGCUAAUCUCUUAAAGCCGUUCUCAGUUCGGACUGUAGGCUGCAACUCGCCUACACGAAGUCGGAAUCGCUAGUAAUCGCGGAUCAGCAUGCCGCGGUGAAUACGUUCCCGGGCCUUGUACACACCGCCCGUCACACCAUGGGAGUUUGUAACGCCCAAAGUCGGUGGCCUAACCUUUAUGGAGGGAGCCGCCUAAGGCGGGACAGAUGACUGGGGUGAAGUCGUAACAAGGUACC
RNAcentral lists this ribosomal RNA (259 nucleotides) under uncultured bacterium. Its description in RNAcentral is "partial 16S ribosomal RNA". It matches the Rfam family "Bacterial small subunit ribosomal RNA", at positions 1243 to 1500 of the family's 1533-position model. The record is from RNAcentral.